RNAcentral lists this ribosomal RNA (253 nucleotides) under uncultured bacterium. RNAcentral describes it as "partial 16S ribosomal RNA". It matches the Rfam family "Bacterial small subunit ribosomal RNA", at positions 524 to 776 of the family's 1533-position model. The record is from RNAcentral.
UACAGAGGGGGCAAGCGUUAUUCGGAAUUAUUGGGCGUAAAGGGCGCGUAGGCGGCCUGACAAGUGGAAGGUGAAAUCCCUCGGCUUAACCGAGGAACUGCCCUCCAAACUGUCUGGCUUGAGACCGGGAGAGGUGAGUGGAAUUCCCAGUGUAGCGGUGAAAUGCGUAGAUAUCAGGAAGAACACCCGUGGCGAAGGCGGCUCUCUGGGACGGUACUGACGCUGAGACGCGAAAGCGUGGGGAGCGAACAGG